RNAcentral lists this long non-coding RNA (262 nucleotides) under Nicotiana benthamiana. RNAcentral's name for it is "long non-coding RNA (NBEN_LNC015986)". Lineage: Eukaryota; Viridiplantae; Streptophyta; Magnoliopsida; Solanales; Solanaceae. The record is from RNAcentral.
GAGACCAGCUAGACAAAUGAACAGCCAAUUGCACAGUAUACCCAGAGCUUCAACAGAAUUGUGAGAAAAAUAGACUCAAAGUGAUCAAAUUCAGCACUGAUAGUAUUUUCAGAUAUAAAAUGAGUAUUUUAGCUCUAGUAUUGAAGAUAAAAGCUCCGGAUCCCAAUCCGAUGCCCCAAAUGGUUCAUUUUAUAGUAAAAUUGUUAAGGCAUCGGAUUUUACUUUGUUUUCUUUUUAGUCCUCAACUCAAAUUGUAUUUUUU